Molecule: ribosomal RNA, 406 nt
Filed under: uncultured bacterium
Lineage: Bacteria
Description: partial 16S ribosomal RNA
Rfam family: Bacterial small subunit ribosomal RNA
Source: RNAcentral
AUUGAACGCUGGCGGCAGGCCUAACACAUGCAAGUCGAACGAGUGGCGGACGGGUGAGUAAUGUCUGGGAAACUGCCUGAUGGAGGGGGAUAACUACUGGACACGGUAGCUAAUACCGCAUACCAUCAGAUGUGCCCAGAUGGGAUUAGCUUGUUGGGGGGGUAACUGCUCACCAAGGCGACGGUCCCUAGCUGGUCUGAGAGGAUGACGAGCGAGACUGGGACUGAGACACGGCCCAGACUCCUACGGUAGGCAGCAGUGAGGAACAUUGCACAAUGGGCGCAAGCCUGAUGCAGCCAUGCCGCGUGUAUGAAGAAGGCCUUCGGGUUGUAAAGUACUUUCAGCGGGGAGGCGUUACCCGCAGACGAAUCGCUGGCUAACUCUGUGCCAGCCGCCGCGGUAAUAC